GUGAAACACCCAUUCCUAGACAUGAAACUAUAAAUAUACCCUACGUAAUUUAAAACAUAGAAACACACCCAAAAUAAACCCAAAAAUCAACAAUUGUAUAUUUUUUAAUUUAAUUAAUAAGAUGAAAUAUCUUUAUUACCCUUUUUAGCAUUAAGUUAGUUUUGGAUCUCGUUUGAAGCCUCCCUCAGGUUUGAAGCAUCAAGCCCUCCCUCAGUUUUGAAGCCUUAAGCCCCUCUCCUGCUUCAAACCACCAUCUCUCCUCUGUUAUCUCCCUUCUUCCCUCUCUUUGCCUUCAAAGUAAACCAAACAGUCUCAAAGCCAUGGACCAACACAAGACCGACGACAAUCUCCGUUACGUAGGUGGCCUCACACGUGUUCUCGCCGCCGAUGCCUCCAUUUCCUUUGCAGAUCUGUCUUGUGUUCCUGAUUUUCAACCUGGAUCUCUUCUUCGCAGAUGCCGACGACGAUGAUUUUUCCAUAGCCAAAGGGGCUGCCGCUUCCUCUUCCUCUCUGCGGCCGCCAUUGAAGAAGCUCUUCUUUGAAGAGCGGAAUACGCCGAACUCGGCAAUGUCGUUUUAGAACUCAGAAGGUGGACUCAGGUCCUGAUCCAUGAGAGCAACCAGCUUCUGAGUUUGAUCAUCAACACCUUUUACAAUUUGUUAUGUAAGUUGAUUUGUAAUGUACAAUUUGUUAUCUGUAAGUCGU
Molecule: long non-coding RNA, 705 nt
Organism: Prunus persica (peach)
Lineage: Eukaryota; Viridiplantae; Streptophyta; Magnoliopsida; Rosales; Rosaceae
Exons: 3
Source: RefSeq, a predicted model, not a curated record